This 72-nucleotide transfer RNA is filed under the name Marmota marmota marmota (Alpine marmot). It matches the Rfam family "tRNA". From Rfam's summary of the family: Transfer RNA (tRNA) molecules are approximately 80 nucleotides in length. Their secondary structure includes four short double-helical elements and three loops (D, anti-codon, and T loops). RNAcentral also lists the same sequence under 1 other name. Lineage: Eukaryota; Metazoa; Chordata; Mammalia; Rodentia; Sciuridae. The record is from Rfam by way of RNAcentral.
UGGGGUAUGGCUCAGUGGUAGAGUGCUCACCUGGCACAUGUGAGGCACUAGGUUCGAUCCUCAGUACCACAU